This 254-nucleotide ribosomal RNA is filed under the name uncultured bacterium. RNAcentral describes it as "partial 16S ribosomal RNA". It matches the Rfam family "Bacterial small subunit ribosomal RNA", at positions 524 to 776 of the family's 1533-position model. The record is from RNAcentral.
UACGUAGGGUGCGAGCGUUGUCCGGAUUUAUUGGGCGUAAAGAGCUCGUAGGCGGUUUGGUAAGUUGGAUGUGAAAUCUCCAGGCUCAACUUGGAGGGGUCAUUCGAUACUGCCAUGACUAGAGUUCGGUAGGGGAGUGUGGAAUUCCUGGUGGAGCGGUGAAAUGCGCAGAUAUCAGGAGGAACACCCGUAGCGAAGGCGGCACUCUGGGCCGGAACUGACGCUGAGGAGCGAAAGCGUGGGGAGCGAACAGG